This 170-nucleotide unclassified non-coding RNA is filed under the name uncultured Schizothecium. RNAcentral describes it as "sequence contains ITS1". The record is from RNAcentral. Lineage: Eukaryota; Fungi; Ascomycota; Sordariomycetes; Sordariales; Lasiosphaeriaceae.
CAGAGUUGCAAAACUCCCAACCAUUGUGAACUUACCUCACCGUUGCUUCGGCGGGUGGCCCGCUAACCACGGGCCGCGCCGGCUGCUCCUCCAGGGCAUCCGGCACCCCGCCAGAGGCCCGAAACUCUUUGUCAUCAGUGGCCUCUCUGAGUAACUUAUACAAUAAGUCA